RNAcentral lists this ribosomal RNA (254 nucleotides) under uncultured bacterium. RNAcentral describes it as "partial 16S ribosomal RNA". It matches the Rfam family "Bacterial small subunit ribosomal RNA", at positions 524 to 776 of the family's 1533-position model. The record is from RNAcentral.
UACGUAGGGUGCGAGCGUUGUCCGGAAUUACUGGGCGUAAAGAGCUCGUAGGUGGUUUGUCGCGUCGGCCGUGAAAACCUGCAGCUUAACUGUGGGCUUGCGGUCGAUACGGGCAUCACUGGAGUUCGGCAGGGGAGACUGGAAUUCCUGGUGUAGCGGUGAAAUGCGCAGAUAUCAGGAGGAACACCGGUGGCGAAGGCGGGUCUCUGGGCCGAUACUGACGCUGAGGAGCGAAAGCGUGGGGAGCGAACAGG